CUGUGCACUUGCUAAGUGUUACUAAAGACAUCCUCAAUGCUAUGGAAGACUGCAUACAAAGGUUCUGCCCAAUCUGUGAGAAAAGUGAGCGUGAUCAUCUUCCCGUCACAGCAACUGGAAAUAUUUAUGACAGUAUGAAAAAGAAAAGAAAGGGCUUUGUGCCCCUGACCCCAGUAUUCUCGGAAUUAAAAAGCAAGUUGUUCAUUUUGUACAAAUCUGUGUGCCUGUGAGCAGUAUCACUGAUGUGUUUAUUGGUAAACUUUCAUGCUAUUAAUUUUUUUUAACACUUUAGGUCUUACAAGACAUUCUUCCAAGAAGCAAGAUAAUUUGGUUUUGGAAAAGAAAAAGAGUCGGCCAUUUUUCAGGAUCAGUUCUUGGCACCACCAGAGAGCAGCAGUGUAUCCUGAACUUGAGCCAGAAACCUCUCUUGUUAAUUCCAGCUUUCGACUUCAUUUGCUAUGUGAUCUUGGAUUAAUUCUAAACCUUCUCAGAGACUCUUUUCAGCUUCAGUUUGGGGAAAUGGAACCUACUUUGCUGCCCAUGCCAGUUAUUCUGCUAACGAUAGAUACUCCAAAUCAGACAUAAAUGGGAAGAAGUAUAUGUAUUAUGCAUGCGUACUUACAGGUGAUUACUCUAUUGGAAAUUCAUCGUUCAUUAUUUCUCCACCAAAGGACCCUCAAGAUUCUGAUAUUCUGUAUGACAGUGUUACUGACCACAUGCAAAAGCCUACAUUAUUUGUCAUAUUUUAUGACAAUCAGUCUUA
RNAcentral lists this long non-coding RNA (763 nucleotides) under Monodelphis domestica (gray short-tailed opossum). RNAcentral describes it as "lncRNA (ENSMODG00000049354.1)". Lineage: Eukaryota; Metazoa; Chordata; Mammalia; Didelphimorphia; Didelphidae. The record is from RNAcentral.